CAGUGUGAGUUGCGCCAUCGGUGGCAGGGCGCGGGGAUGCGAGUCUGUCGACGGCGAAAGGAGCAGUGGCGACGGGGCUCGGGGCGAGCAGCUCAGUGCGACCGCGUUGGGAGAGCUGCCGUGCCGGCGGCGGGCGGGAAGGGGAGGAGGCGACCCACGGGGCGCGGGCAGCCUGAGGCGGGGGCUGCGCUGCUGCGGCCGCGGAGCUGCGCCCCCCUGAGGGAGAAGAAGGAGCAGCGCAGCCGCCCCGCUCUGCGCAGGGGCCCCGCGGCCGGCGGGCGUCGUAGCGUCAGCAACUUGUAGAGCCCGGGCGAGAAGGAGAAAUACGGCGUGGAAUGGUAGAGGUGUUUCCAUUAAGAAGCCCAAUGUGAAGGGGAUUUUUCCUGCAACCUAUAUUCACUUGAAAAAGGCAAUUUUUAAUAACAGAAGGACAGUUGUGGGGAGAUUUGGAAGAGCACCAUUUCAGAUGGUCGCCCAAGGUGGAAGGUUAAGUUGGGAAGAUAAAACUAAAAGAUGGCAUUUAGUGAAGUGCCUGCAGAAGAAGAGUACCUCUCCUAAUUUUUGUCCUCUUCUUGUUUUGGCAAUAUGAAACAGUUGUUCCACGUGAAGAUUCUGUUGUGACUGAGGUCACAACAACACUAAAGGAAUGGACUGUGCUCUGGAAACAGCUGUAUGUGGGAUGUGGCGGCUCAAAUGAUCCCGGAAGCCUAAGGAAAUCUGGAGCAGCAAGAUGGUGGAGAAGAGUCUUGGUACAAAUAUGGAGUUGAUCCCUUUCCAGCUGAUGAGCGCUGCAGGAAAGGCUCAGACCAUGCUGUGGAGAAUGUGAGCUCUUCAGUUACCGAGCACCAUUCAUGGCAGUGCUUCUCCUCGAGACCAUCCGUGACUUAAAAACUUACCAAGGCUGCAGAAGCAGUGGGCAUGGAAAAAACAGAGCAUCAGGCCAGACUUCAGCUGGAAGUGUGAUCAAGCGAGUAGCAGUACCCAAAGAAAAGAGCUACAUCAGUGAUAGCAAGCUUUGCUCCGUUGGAUGGUGUGAGAAGCGAGAAUAAUGCUUGGCUCAAAGUUUGUUCAGAGGCAGCCAUCUGAGACAUGAGAAGCUGGAGAAUGCUUGGCUCAAAGCCUGUUCAGCAGCACCCAUCCAAGUCAUGACCUGCCCAACAAGUUUUUGAAGUUAACGGCUGACUACCAUGAGCAAAGUGGUAAGAGGACAGAUGUGCUGUUCCUCCUGAUGAACAAAAAUGUGGGUACCCCUACAGCUACCAUCACUGUGGUGGACAGGACACAAUGCCCCUGAUAAUUGGGGUAGUCAGGCCCGAAUAGUUCUGAGGAAGAAUAGGGAAUCCCAUCUGCCAAAAAGCAGCCAUGUAAGCCAGCAAGACGUCACUGACCAACCUGCUGCCUCCGCAUGGACCAGUGAGGCAUCGCCAGGUUCCCUGGUGGUGACUAUCCCUGCUCUGUAAACUGUUUGCUAAAAUUUCUUUCUCUGCUAUCACUAACUUCCCUAUCUUCCCCACAUCCCUUAGUGGCUUAGAACCUGUAAUGCUGAUUAUGCUCUGAGAUUUACCACCUGUUCAUACUGGGCUGAACCAUACAAGGGUGAAGAAAUUGUUAUCCUUAACAAUCAAUAUUAGAGUAUGGAGAACAGCAAGAUGAUUAGUUUUGAUAAAUUAUUAUUAUCAAUCAUCAGGUCAGGUUAGUAAGGUAGUUUUCUUAUAUUAGAAAUAUUUCAUAGUCUAGUUCAAAAACAAAAAAGGGUAAAAGAGGGGGAAUUGUGAGGGGUGGAUUGUGUUUUUGCAGUGGAAAUUUCCAGUAUUUCUGUAUGUAGCAUAGGAUAAGCUACCUUUCAUAAAAGAAAGUUGCUGAACAGAGUAAAAUUGAGACUGGGGCGUUCUGACCUAGGUAAAAUUGGCACAGGCACUAGGUAAGGCAAUUGUGUGCAGUAGAGCAGGCACAGAACAGAACUGGUGUGCAGGUUGUUGAAAAUAUUGCCCUCUUAUCAUUAUAAGAAGUACAGAACGUACCCAAAGACAAUGGGUUGGUAGCAGACAUUGUAUAGAAGCAUAACAUAGCAACAGCAUCGGAAGAUUGUGAACUCAACCAGUGAGUGACUUUACCUGCAUCACACCCAGGCUACAUAACAGAAUGGAUUUCACUGACUGGUUAUACAAUUUCUCCCUUGUCAGUAGUGGGUUGCGCCCAUUAUUGCAAUAAUGCAUAAACUGCUCUUCACAGAGAUCUUUGCCUGAUCUGUGAUUAGAAAUUUCUGGUCUUGAGCGUGUUUCUCACAUAGCAGUAACACCGCGUAACAGUGUGGCUGUUCUGCAGGGGCAGCUGGCUAUUCUGAACUUUCUAAUCUUCCUUGCUAAUUAUGGAAAGCUUAGGCACUCACUGCUGCUGGAAUGACAGAGAAAGCAUAGAUUCGUCUGGUUCUAAUGGAGCUGACCAAGAAUUUCAUUACUGUUUCAGAAAGGAUAUUGGAUGCAAGCUUGAGAGUACUUUGCAGUCAGAGGUAAAGGUGUGAUACGAAAGUAAAAACAAACAAUAUGUGAGAAGAUUGUCGUGAAGAUCUAGGCAAAAAGAGUAAAAAAUUAAAAAGGACACAGAAAAGAAAGCAAAAAGCACAGUGUCCUGUUGGAAGCUGUGGAUGGCACGAGGAAAGAACCCAUCCUCAGGAUGAGCAGGGAUAUAUCCUGAACAAAACAAGGGCUAAGCUGAAGAGCAAAAAAAUCAGACUGCCCAUUGAAACAAGCAUGAAGAAAAUGACCAGUUAUUAAAUUCAUCAGUUAUAACAAAGUUGUUCAUUAAUCAGGAAAUGUUCGGGUAUGUAUUGCAAUACAAGUCUCCAGACAAAAGAACAGAGCACCCUGAAAGGCAGCCUUAUUAGUGUAUGUACAGAAAGAUUUGUUGCUGUGAGACAAAGUAACUGUAAUGCUAAGAUGGAAAUGACGGGCCACCACAGGCCUCCCAUAUUGGAGAAGGGGUUUAUGUCUGCCUUUUGAGAUACACAGUUCUGGGAAAACUGGUGCUUCUUGCUGUUGCAGAGAGGAUAUACAUACAUAGAAGGGAGGAGACGAUGGCAGCAUCUUAGCUUUUACCCAAGUGUUCUUACUGGCAUCAGCUAACCCUGCCCAGUUGCCUCUCAUCCCUUCCCGUCAGAGCUCAGCAGUAAGAGUAAUUCUGCUUGCUGACAUGUUUAAGGAAUAUAGCACAGGGUGUGUCCUAAGAGCAAGCAGGACUGGGGGCUGUUAGAUGUCAUAAUACCCCUUUAGCAGUGGGCUGGGAUUGGGUACACCAGUGGCCAACUUAAUGACAGUUUUAGCCCUGGGCUGGUUAGUGGGCUUUCACUGGGAGGAAGGGUGAAACCUGCAUGAUGGAGUCUGCCUCACUAGUUGAAGGAGGGACCUACAAAAACAGGUAUGAAUGUCUGCAGGAGCUGUCACAGACAGAUGGAAAUGGUACCACAAUUUAACUGGAUCUUACUUUCCAAUCCAAGCCGAGGUGGAAAAUGACUGAAAAGAACAGUUUGUGGACUGGGAGAUGACAUUGGAAAAAAAGUGCAGUGUGACUGUCUGGGAAAUGAACUCUGCACAAAUUGCAGUCUCAGCUCUGGCAAAUGUUCAGAUGCCAUCAUGCAAACAGUGAAAUCAGACAAUUAACUAUGUGGUAAGUUGAAAUGACUUGAAAAAAAUUGAGACAUCUUGCAAAAAUUCAGUAAAACAAAAUGCAGGUUGUAAAUGCAAGCAACUCUUCCGUCAUCAGAAGCAAAACGGGAACCUGGUAAUUGAUUCAAAGACAUUGGCAAAAAUGAUGCAGCUGAAGCCUAUUUUUCCAAAAUAAGGUAUAGACUCCUCCCCUGGAAAUGAGAUUUUCCACCAGCAGUCUACCUCCAGCCAGGAGUCUUCCUUCAGCUCCCAGGGGCACAUGCUAGUCUCGGCAGGCACCCAGCUGUGAGGGUAAUUGAGCAGUGCAGCAGAGCAGGUUUGGGAUUUACAGCAGUCAAAGGCUUUAAAAUGAGAUUAGAUAGCUCUUUAAAAUCAACUGUAAUCCAGAGUCAAAAGAAAAUGCUAUUGCUGGAUGAAUUUUCUCUAAGAGUUUAACAGGCAAAGGAAAUGCAACAAGCAAACUGCCACUGCUGCCUAGCGUUGUUUUGGCAAGUCCUGACCAUGCUGUUGGGGCCUGUGACUGUCACAGCUGGGAAAAGGAACAAUUCCAUGCUACGUGCCAAUCAUGGCCUACCACUAAAGCUUCCUUAGACAGGGCUUUGAAGUUUCCCAGUGCCAGACCGAAAAUCAGACAAGAGCUGGGCUUGAUAAGACAUUCCUCUAUAUUUCAGGAGAUAUCAACAGUCCUGCACACCAUCAUGAGCGCAUCCCAUUAGAGAAAAGGCUGUUAACUCUCUCCCUUCCUGGUUGGUGAAAGUGAGUAAGUGAUAGAAUGCUUCAUGCAUAAAACAUGAGCAUGACCUCACAUUUAAGAGUUUGACUUUUAUUUCUAAUUAGUUAGGAAUUGUUCAUUGGAAACAAAACUGUAUUGGAAAGAGGAUAUCAGAAAGAGAUCAAACUUUCAGAUGAAGUUAGGCCUGAUAAAUUCUAAAAAAUAUUCCUAGUGGGCAUUUUUCAGUGUGGGAAUAGAGGGUCUGAAGUAGGUUUUCUGUCAUGAGAAUAGCCAAUAUAUGCUUUUUUCAAUUACUACUGUCAAGAAUAUAGGUUACAACUAUUACUAAUUCCAGGUUUGCUUUGAAAGAGCUGAAUCUGGACUACUGUAGUUAUUUGGGAAGCACUGAACACAAAAUGUGCACAUCAACACAUGCACAGGCUGUGAUGCGUCAUGCAUGCCCAUCUCCGACCUCUGGUGUAAAAUGGCACUGAAGUAAGCUUCAGAGAGACCGUGCAGUGCCUACAGUCACAAAGAACUUGUUUGUAGCUGGAAAUGGUGCCCAAAUCAACCAGGACACCACAUCUCAACAAUACCUGCCCUCCUGCUGCCUUUAGUCUGUCUUUUCUCUCCUUAAACACUAGUGCUUGUUCCUUUUUCCUCUGCAAUUAAUUAGCAGAAAAGUAUUUAUUCACUUUGAGGGGGAAAAAAAAUCUUCCUCAGCCUGUUUAAGUGUGUUUAAGAUAUCUGUAAAUCUCCUGAACAAAUUGUUUCAAGGUCUAUACUGAAUGUGGGAUUUAGUGCACUAAAAUAAAGGAAAAGUUUAAUGGAAAAGUGUGGUAUGAGCCAACCA
Molecule: long non-coding RNA, 5227 nt
Organism: Tympanuchus pallidicinctus (lesser prairie-chicken)
Lineage: Eukaryota; Metazoa; Chordata; Aves; Galliformes; Phasianidae
Exons: 7
Source: RefSeq, a predicted model, not a curated record